CCUACGGGAGGCUGCAGUGAGGAAUAUUGGUCAAUGGACGAGAGUCUGAACCAGCCAAGUAGCGUGAAGGAUGACUGCCCUAUGGGUUGUAAACUUCUUUUAUAUGGGAAUAAAAUGUUCCACGUGUGGGAUUUUGUAUGUACCAUAUGAAUAAGGAUCGGCUAACUCCGUGCCAGCAGCCGCGGUAAUACGGAGGAUCCGAGCGUUAUCCGGAUUUAUUGGGGUUAAAGGGAGCGUAGGUGGAUUGUUAAGUCAGUUGUGAAAGUUUGCGGCUCAACCGUAAAAUUGCAGUUGAAACUGGCAGUCUGGAGUACAGUAGAGGUGGGCGGAAUUAGUGGUGUAGCGGUGAAAUGCUUAGAUAUCACGAAGAACUCCGAUUGCGAAGGCAGCUCACUGGACUGCAACUGACACUGAGGCUCGAAAGUGUGGGUAUCAAACAGGAUUAGAUACCCUGGUC
RNAcentral lists this ribosomal RNA (457 nucleotides) under uncultured bacterium. Its description in RNAcentral is "partial 16S ribosomal RNA". It matches the Rfam family "Bacterial small subunit ribosomal RNA", at positions 338 to 792 of the family's 1533-position model. The record is from RNAcentral.